Homo sapiens (human) is the source of this 588-nucleotide long non-coding RNA. Ensembl annotates it as ARF4 antisense RNA 1. Its record names the gene ARF4-AS1. NCBI's taxonomy places the organism in Eukaryota, Metazoa, Chordata, Mammalia, Primates, Hominidae. The record is from Ensembl.
GCUGACGAGCAUCUCUCGACGGCGCCACCGCCCGGACGUGGCCCCAGGAGCCGGGAGAGGCCGGCUGAGGCACAUGCGUACUGGGAGACGGACAAAGUCCCACAAUACCUCGCUUCGUCACUGCCAAAUCAGACUCAGGGUGAGACGCUUCCGCCCGGAUGAAGGUAUUGUCGGGGUGAUAGUCCUUGCUUCCGGAAAGGCGAGCUGAGCAUUAUGGGUUAGGUGAGGAACCUCGCCCUCUUCUAUUACGGUACGCGCGAUGGGUAUUCCCUGAUGCCAUGAACUUACACGUUUCACACACGGGACCAGACGCUUGCUUUAGUUGACGCAUGAAGACCGGUCCGGUCUUUUGCGGAGAAAAGUGGUUAAAAGCUGACUUGUGGGCCGAGAAACUGUGGCACCCUAAUGAGCUAGGGCUAGACGCUUCGACCACCACGCCAAGUGAUUCUGAAGAUCUCUAAUUCUGUCAAGGCGAGAGCGCUCCAACACGUGUUCAUCGGCUGUUGCUUUUUAAAGAGAAGGCAAGGAGGAAGUCUUGCUUUUCUUGUACUUUUUUUCCUAGAAGCAGCAUUAAAGAUUUACUCCUUA